GUGCCAGCAGCCGCGGUAAUACCGGCAGCCCGAGUGAUGGCCGAUAUUAUUGGGCCUAAAGCGUCCGUAGCUGGCCGCGCAAGUCCAUCGGGAAGUCCACCCGCCCAACGAGUGGGCGUCCGACGGAAACUGCACAGCUUGGGACCGGAAGGCUCGAAGGGUACGUUCGGGGUAGGAGUGAAGUCCCAUAAUCCCGCACGGACCACCGAUGGCGAAAACACUUCGAGAAAACGGAUCCGACAGUGAGGGACGAAAGCCAGGGUCUCCAACCGGAUUAGAUACCCCGGUAGUCC
RNAcentral lists this ribosomal RNA (293 nucleotides) under uncultured bacterium. RNAcentral describes it as "partial 16S ribosomal RNA". It matches the Rfam family "Archaeal small subunit ribosomal RNA", at positions 455 to 747 of the family's 1478-position model. The record is from RNAcentral.